UGCUGUGAUGAGUUCUAGCUUAUUUCUGACACCUCUUGUAUGAGAUGGGAUUAGUCCCUUCAUUGAGCAGAUCCAGCAACUCUCUGAGCC
RNAcentral lists this small nucleolar RNA (90 nucleotides) under Dichanthelium oligosanthes. Its description in RNAcentral is "Small nucleolar RNA snoR1". It matches the Rfam family "Small nucleolar RNA snoR1". From Rfam's summary of the family: snoR1 is a member of the C/D class of snoRNA which contain the C (UGAUGA) and D (CUGA) box motifs. Most of the members of the box C/D family function in directing site-specific 2'-O-methylation of substrate RNAs. The record is from Rfam by way of RNAcentral. Lineage: Eukaryota; Viridiplantae; Streptophyta; Magnoliopsida; Poales; Poaceae.